UACGUAGGGGGCAAGCGUUGUCCGGAUUUAUUGGGCGUAAAGAGCGUGUAGGCGGCCAGACAGGUCCGUUGUGAAAACUCGAGGCUCAACCUCGAGACGCCGAUGGAAACCGUCUGGCUAGAGUCCGGAAGAGGAGAGUGGAAUUCCUGGUGUAGCGGUGAAAUGCGCAGAUAUCAGGAGGAACACCGGUGGCGAAGGCGGGUCUCUGGGCCGUAACUGACGCUGAGGAGCAAAAGCGUGGGGAGCGAACAGG
RNAcentral lists this ribosomal RNA (253 nucleotides) under uncultured bacterium. RNAcentral's name for it is "partial 16S ribosomal RNA". It matches the Rfam family "Bacterial small subunit ribosomal RNA", at positions 524 to 776 of the family's 1533-position model. The record is from RNAcentral.